CUUAUUCUCCUAUGGAACACCCUGCCUUUUUUUUUUUUUUCUCCUUCGUAGGCUUUAACUCUGUUUCUAGUUAAAUAGGCAUCUGUGUGAUUGUUUGUGUCAGUGUCCAUCUGCUCUGACAGAACUGUGUCUCUGCUGUUCAGGCUGUCAGCCCAGGGCCUGCCCCAGAGCUGUGGAGUGAAUGAGACUGGCUUGUGGCCCAAGGCUCCAAGGAUCAGGAUCUCUGUAAUAUGUGAGUUCCUGUCCAUGAGAGCUGACUUGCACAGUCUUGAGAGCCCCUGGGGACAUUUUGCCUGGGCUCCAGGAACUGUACUCUCUGAUCACAAGGCUGGACAUACUACCUCCUCCUCUCUCAGGGGGGAAGAAGGCUAAGGAAGGAUAUCUUACUCUUUCCCUCCACUCCAGCCUUUGAGUUAAUUCACAAGUGCAUGUGCAGGCUCUGUCUCCACUUUCUCCUGGCACUCUACAGCAGGUCUCCAAAGCCUGAGUCGUCCACCCUGCAACUGCCCAAGCCCACGGCAGAGCCCAGCUGCCCUGCUAUUCCUCCCAUAACCUGGG
Molecule: long non-coding RNA, 558 nt
Organism: Canis lupus familiaris (dog)
Lineage: Eukaryota; Metazoa; Chordata; Mammalia; Carnivora; Canidae
Exons: 2
Source: RefSeq, a predicted model, not a curated record